This 330-nucleotide long non-coding RNA is filed under the name Lathyrus oleraceus (garden pea). RNAcentral's name for it is "Pisum sativum (pea) long non-coding RNA (PSAT_LNC015886)". The record is from RNAcentral. Lineage: Eukaryota; Viridiplantae; Streptophyta; Magnoliopsida; Fabales; Fabaceae.
UUAAUCAAAAGCCUAGAAUUUAUAUCCAUGUUUUUCUCUCUUAGCCAAUAGAAGUUAAGGAAAUAAGUUAAAAAAUAAAAAAAGAGUUAAAUAAAAUGGGUGGGAAAACUCCCCUCAUUUUUCUUUUGGCCGACAGCCCACGUCACCCUGGCUGACAACAACUUUCACUCAUGUCCAUCUCUCUCCUCCUCACACGCGUCCCCCCUAUACCUAGCCACUCACCACUCUCAACUGUGGACGCUCUCUCUUCUCUCUCACUUCUCUAAAAAGAUAAAACAAAAAAAAUCCCUUCUUCUUCCUUCACUCCCUCACGAAACCCUCACAGCGAAA